GCCCCGCCCACUCCACCAUUUUCCUCUGGAAGUGCUCAACCCUGAGGCGGUCCUGCGGCUGGGCAGGCUUGGGGCUUGGUUCUAUGUCCCUAUGGGUCGGUGUGGGGGCGAAGAGGGACCCGUGGGCCUCUGGGGAUCCCGGGGGGCCGGACCAGUGUUCCCUAGUUGUGGGAGCAGACGCCUGGGCGCAUCGCGGGCGAGCGAGGCCUGACGUGCAGCUAUGUUUCCAGUGUCCUCUGGGUGUUUCCAAGAGCAACAAGAAACGAAUAAAUCUCUGCCAUAGGAGUUUUAGCCAAUUCAGAGGACUUGCUCCCCACAAUUUGGAAAAUUCCUUUGGAUUUGACCAAGUAAGGAAGAGACGGGAGAAAAGUGAAACAACAACAAUAAAGCCCCAAGUAUAAACAAACAAAAAGAGUUAAGCAAAACAACAAAUGCACAAUUCAUAUGAUUACUGAGUGUUCUAAUGGUAAGGAGAAACUAAAAGCAGAAAUUAAAAGCAGCUGGUGAGUAAUCUUAAAUUUUAGUCAUUAAGGAAAAAUUUUAAGACAAAACUCUAAUUCAGCUACUUACCUGGAAACAAGGCUCAGGCUGGUGAUCGUUCUCUGCCAUCUUAGAAGCUGGAAACAACUUACACUCACCUUCCCUGUCAGAAGCAAGCUGAAACUCAGGAAAGGAGGUGCCUGCUCUCCAUCACCACAGAAGCAGGAAAACUUGCCUUUGUUAUGCCCAGACCGUUAGUUCCCCAAAGAAGACCACCAGAGUCCAGAGUCAAAGCCAAGCGGCAAGGAUCUUUACUAUAAGUUCGAACCUGGUCCCUCCAUUCCACAGCAUACAAGAGGGCCCUGAACAAUGCGAGUGUUUGCUUUUUAUAGCCUGAAAGUUACAGGGGAACAAAGGAAUUCUUUUGGUUCCUGCUCUUUCAGUAAAACUUUGAACGGCUGUCCCCUUAUCAGAGACUUUCCUGGUGGUGUUUGUACUGGGCUCAGGAAGUUUGAGAGAUAUAUGGCGAUAUGUGGUGGGAUGGGAGGAUGGGAUGUGUUUGUACUGGGCUUGUUUGUUUUGAGCCCGGGGCUGAGGAAUGUGCCCGGCUCCUUUCACCUUCCUUGUUGGAAAUGAGUAAAACUUCAGAAAAGGAGUUGUACAGCAAAAUCAAACUUAGAUCUCAACCAGAUUUUGGGAGAUCAGGGACUCUUUGCAGGGGAGAAGCUCCACAACCUCAGCAAAUUAUUCUGUUGGUUUGGGCAAUAAAGAUAGCCCAGGUUGGUAUCAAUCAAUAAUGAGAUUUAUCAAAGGUCAGGACCACCUUUGUAAUGUCCUUCUCUGUCUUUUUUUAUCUUUAUUGGUAUAUACAUUUUGUCGAAACUGGGAGUGUAACACCUGAUUUCUUCUGUUUUCCAUUUGCUUGAAAGAUUUUUCACCAUUCCUUCAUUUUGAGCCUAUGUAUGGCACUGCAUGUGAGAUGGGUUUCUUGGAGACGGCAUACUCAAAUGGGUCUUGGUUCUUUAUCCAGCUUGCCCCCCUGUGUCUUUCAAUCAGCAUUUAGCCGAUUUCCAUUUAAGGUUAGUAAUGGUAUGUGUGGAUUAGAUCCUGUCGUCAUGCUGUCAGCUAGUUAUUUUGCAGACUUGUGUAUGUGGUUGGUUUUUAGCAUUACUGGUCUGUGUACUUCAGUGCAUUUUUGUAGUGGCUGGUGAUGGUCUUUUCUUUCCAUAUUUAGUGCUUCAUGUAAGCUCUUGUAAGGUAGAUCUGGUGAUAAUGAAUUCUCCCAGCAUUUGCUUGUCUGAAAAGGAUCUUUUUUCUCCUUCACUUAUGAUGCUUAAUUUUGCUGGACAUGAAAUUCUGGGUUGAAAUUUCUUUUUCUUUUAACCAUUUAUAAUAACACCAUGUUAUUAUAUGGUAUAUCUGUCUCUGCCAUACUACGUGAAAUUUCUUUUCUUUAAGAAGUUGAAUAUCUUUUCUGGCUUGUAGGGUUUCAGCUGAGAAGUCUGCUAAGGCUGAUGGAAUUCCCUUUGCAGGUGACGUUGCCUUUCUCCCUAGCUGCCUUUAACAUUGUUUCUUUAAUUUUGACCUUGGAGAAUCUGAUGAUUAUAUGUCUUGGGGAUGAUCUUCUCGUGGCUUAUCUUACUGAGGUUCUCUGGAUUUCCUGAAUUGGAAUGUUGGCCUGUCUGGAUAGGUUGGGGAUAUUCUCAUGAAUGAUAUUCUGAAGUAUGUUUUCCAAGUUGGUUCCAUUCUCCUCAUCUCUUUCAUGUACACUAAUCAGUCAUAGAUUUGGUCGUUUAUAUAAUCUCAUAUUUCUUGGAUGUUUUGUUCAUUCAUUUUCCUUCUUUUUUCCCCCAUUCUUGUCUGCCUGUUUUAUUUCAGAAAGCCGGUUUUCAAGCUCUGGGAUUCUUUCCUCUGCUUGGUCUAUUCUGCUGGGUGGUCUUGCACAUGAGAUGUAGCUGGUGUGACCUCAGCCCUCCUUAGUCUGCUUGCCUCUCCCAGGACCCCAGCCUGGCCACACCUGCUUACAGGGCAAUCUCGGGUGCCCACACACACUACAAUAAUUUUCAUAAUGCAAUCACACAUAAUCACUAUGUGACUGCAUUAUGAAAAUUCUUGUAGUGUGCUUUUCAGCUCUAUUAGGUCGGUUAUGUCUUCUUUAUACUUGCUAUUUUGUCUGUUAGCUCCUACAAUGUUUUACAAUGAUUUUUAGCUCACUUGUAUUGCAUGACAACAUACUUCUUUCACUCAGUGAACUUUGUUGCUACGCAUAUCCUGAACCCUGCUUGUAUCAUUCCAGACAUCUCAGCCUCAGCCCAGUUCUGAACACUUGCUGGAGAGUUGAUACAGUCAUUUGGAGGAAAGAAGGCAUGCUGACUUUGAGUUUUCAGUGUUCUCGCACAGAUUCUUUCUCAUCUUUAUGGGCUUAUCCACCUUCCAUCUUUGAGGUUGCUGACAUUCGGACAGGGUAUUUUUGUUUUAUUGUAUUUGAUGAUCUUGAGGGUUUCAUAGUGGGAUAAGGUGGAUUCAGCCAACUGGCUUUGUUUUCGGAGGAUUUUAGGGGGGCCAAUGUGCAGCUCCCAAUUCUUGGACUGUGUGCUUUAACUCUGGGGAACUUGUCUUGGGCCCCAACUUUGUUCUCUGGCUCUUGGAGGUUUGGAGUCCACUGCACUGAGGGGACCAAAGUGUGGCAACUGUGGCAGAAUGCUAGUGGAUGCAAAAGUCCCUGCCUCCCUGCGGGCGUUCACCCAGUGGUGGAGGCAAGACAGCUGGGGUGUGGACCAGGGGUCCCCUGCUGUGUGUGUGUUGCCCUGGAGGUAGUGUUGGUUCAUGGUGGGAUGCUGGCCAGUGCAGGCCAUGGUGCCUUCUCUGUGCCCCUCAAAGCAACAGUGGUCACUCAGGGUAUAAGAAGGUCCCUUUUUCUCUGCACAGCAUUAGCUCAAGGGUUAGGGGCUGGCAGGGAUGGGGUUCUUGAUUCUGUGCCCACCAAGGCUCUGUCUUCAAUGGCAGUUGGUGUGGGUUGGGGUGUGUCCUGCACUCCCCUGUGCUGUCAGGGCAAGUACAGCAAAACCCACAUGUGUAAACACACACAGCAAAGUGAUGUAGGAAGUUUCCACAUAAAGGGCUGCAGUAUGGAGAGGUAAUGUGCAGGCUGGUGCGUGGCUGUUGGGGCCACCUUGCUGCAGCUCUCCACUGAUCAGGUACAGUCCACUAGCACGGAAGCUAUGCUGUGGGCAUCCGAGAGUGCCCUGUAUGCAGGUGUGGCCAGGCUGGGGUCCUGGGAGAGGCAAGCAGACUAAGGAGUGCUGAUAUCAGACCAGCCCCAUCUCAUGUGCAAGACUGCCCAGCAGAGAUCAGGUCUCAGAGGAGAACUCUCUCAAAAGUGAAUCCCCGGCACAGCAUAGCUGCUUUACACAAACAUGGCCAGGCUUCUUUUUUAAGCAAGUCCCCUUUUUGAAGAGGGGAACUCUGGGACCUGAUCUCUGCUGGGCAAUCUUGAACAUGAGAUGGGGCUGAUCUGAACUUAGCAUUCCUAAAGUGCUGGGAUAAAGUAUCUCACAAGGGCACGUGGAGCCUAGAGAGAUAGCUGUCCCUGCCCUCUGGGCUCCACAUCACCUGACUUGCUGCUCCACCACUCUGCUUGUCUCCUGGGUACUCCAUCCCAUAGAGAUGUGAGUUAGCAAUCACUUAGCGUAAUCAGCCCAGGAUGGAGGGUCUGUGUUGUGAGGCCAAGCCAGUGUUCCCUCUCUGGUGAUGAGCAGUGGGGGGUGUGUGGUACCCGUGGGAGAUGGACUGGCUUGUUCAUUGGGUCAACCGCAGCUUAUUGGAGGUGUCAAUAUGUCACUUAGGGUCUUUGCUCCCUUGAUAUUCUGAGGGUAGCAAGGGCAGUUUCACUGCAGAGGCAAUGGCAGAGAGAAUUUCGUUUGCUCCUGGAAGCUCUGUCCAGGGAAUUGCUGAGUUGCUACUGGCUGGAUAGCUCUGAUGGUGGACUGGCUGGAGACCCAGGUCAGUAGGACCAGCCCAUCAAGUAGACUGUGUGGCCACUUUUCUGUCAGGCUGCUGUGGUAUGCUGGGGGUCCCCUCCAGUCCCUAAUUGCCUUGUAUUUUCCAGGGAAGAUGAUAGCCUGCCCCUUCCUCUGGGAGCUCUGUGCCACUGAGGUACGAACUUGUUGCCAGUAUGAACACACCUAUAAGAUGUGACUGGAGGCAAGUUGAGAAGUCUUACCUAGUCAGGAGGAACAAAAACAGGCACUGACUUAAAAAAAAAAAAGUCUGGGCACGUUUUUCUAGAGCAGCUGUGCUAUGUCGGGUGUUCACUUCCACUCCUGGUUGCCUCAGACACUCUGAAGCCCUAAUGCUGAAAUGGCUGAGUUGCCCCAACAGCAAAGACAACAGUCUGGUCCUCCUCCUGGGAGCUCUGACUCAGGGAGGCCUGAAACCUCUGUGGGCCAGAGAACAGCAGUGAAGGCAGCUGGAGACCCUGGUUGAAAGGCUUCACCUGCUGAUUAGAAAUGUGGUCGGGGACUGACUUAAACAAGAGUCUGGCCAUGUUUUUGUAGUGUGGCCGUGCUGCGCUGAGGUUCCUCUUCCACCCCUUGUCACCUUGGGCUUUCCAAAGCCCGCAAACCAGAACUGCUAGUCACCCGAACAGCAAAGGUGGUGGCCUCCCCCUCUCUCUGGGAGCUCUGUCCCGUGAACACUUCAAAUUUCUCUUGGCCAAGGAAUGCUGGUGGCGGUAGCUGGAGGCCCCAUUUGGGAGGUCCUGUACAGUGAUGUGCAACAGGGUCGGGGGCCUGCUUACAGAAGCAUUCUGGCCAUGAUUUGGUAAAGCAGCUAUGCUGUGCUGUGGGAUCUCUUCUGCCCCUUGUCGGUUUGUACUCUCCAAAGCCCUCAGGCUGGAAUGACUAAGUUGCCUGAACAGGAAAGAUGGCGGCCUGCCCCAUCUAUUCUCUCAGAGUUCAUCUUGUUUGAUGGAGAUUAAUUUUUAGUCUGUUAAUUUUACUGUCUACAUUGGACUUGUUCGGAAAGAAUCUGCUAUCUUUUAGGUUAGAUAUAUGAGAAUUCAUUGUUUUCUGUAAAUAAACCUGUUCAUGUCUUGUUCUC
Pan troglodytes (chimpanzee) is the source of this 5580-nucleotide long non-coding RNA. RefSeq lists it as uncharacterized. The transcript is spliced from 3 exons. NCBI's taxonomy places the organism in Eukaryota, Metazoa, Chordata, Mammalia, Primates, Hominidae. The record is from RefSeq and is a predicted model, not a curated record.